Molecule: ribosomal RNA, 253 nt
Filed under: uncultured bacterium
Lineage: Bacteria
Also listed under: 1 other name
Description: partial 16S ribosomal RNA
Rfam family: Bacterial small subunit ribosomal RNA
Source: RNAcentral
UACGUAGGGUCCAAGCGUUAUCCGGAAUCACUGGGCGUAAAGCGUGCGUAGGUGGCGUGUUAAGUGUGAUGUUAAAUCGUGUGGCUCAACCAUAUCGAUGCAUCACAUACUGGCAUGCUAGAGGGAAGCAGAGGCAAGUGGAAUUGGUAGUGUAGCAGUGAAAUGCGUAGAUAUUACCAGGAACACCAAUGGCGAAGGCAGCUUGCUGGGCUUCUUCUGACACUGAGGUACGAAAGCGUGGGGAGCGAACAGG